AGGACGAACGCUGGCGGCGUGCUUAACACAUGCAAGUCGAGCGGUAAGGCCUUUCGGGGUACACGAGCGGCGAACGGGUGAGUAACACGUGGGUGAUCUGCCCUGCACUUCGGGAUAAGCCUGGGAAACUGGGUCUAAUACCGGAUAUGACCUCCUAUCGCAUGGUGGGUGGUGGAAAGAUUUAUCGGUGCAGGAUGGGCCCGCGGCCUAUCAGCUUGUUGGUGGGGUAAUGGCCUACCAAGGCGACGACGGGUAGCCGACCUGAGAGGGUGACCGGCCACACUGGGACUGAGACACGGCCCAGACUCCUACGGGAGGCAGCAGUGGGAAUAUUGCACAAUGGGCGAAAGCCUGAUGCAGCGACGCCGCGUGAGGAUGACGGCCUUCGGGUUGUAAACCUCUUUCAGCAGGACGAAGCGCAAGUGACGGUACCUGCAGAAGAAGCACCGGCUAACUACGUGCCAGCAGCCGC
This 472-nucleotide ribosomal RNA is filed under the name uncultured soil bacterium. Its description in RNAcentral is "bacterial SSU rRNA". It matches the Rfam family "Bacterial small subunit ribosomal RNA", at positions 26 to 518 of the family's 1533-position model. The record is from RNAcentral.